UACGUAGGUGGCAAGCGUUGUCCGGAAUUAUUGGGCGUAAAGCGCGCGCAGGCGGUCCUUUAAGUCUGAUGUGAAAGCCCACGGCUCAACCGUGGAGGGUCAUUGGAAACUGGGGGACUUGAGUACAGAAGAGAAGAGUGGAAUUCCAGGUGUAGCGGUGAAAUGCGUAGAGAUGUGGAGGAACACCAGUGGCGAAGGCGACUCUUUGGUCUGUAACUGACGCUGAGGCGCGAAAGCGUGGGGAGCAAACAGG
Molecule: ribosomal RNA, 253 nt
Filed under: uncultured bacterium
Lineage: Bacteria
Description: partial 16S ribosomal RNA
Rfam family: Bacterial small subunit ribosomal RNA
Source: RNAcentral